GACGAACGCUGGCGGCGUGCUUAACACAUGCAAGUCGAACGGAAAGGCCCUGCGUUUGUGGGUUGCUCGAGUGGCGAACGGGUGAGUAACACGUGAGUAACCUGCCCUUGACUUUGUGAUAACUUCAGGAAACUGGGGCUAAUACCGGAUAGGAUCUCCUGCUGCAUGGGGGGGGUUGGAAAGUUUCGGCGGUUGGGGCUGGACUCGCGGCUUAUCAGCUUGUUGGUGGGGUAGUGGCGUACCAAGGCUUUGACGGGUAGCCGGCAUGAGAGGGUGACCGGCGACAUUGGGACUGAGAUACGGACCAGAAUCCUACGGGAGGCAGUAGUGGGGAACAUUGCACAAUGGCGGGACGCCUGAUGCAGCAACGCCGCGUGCGGGAUGCCGGCCUUCGGGUUGUAAACCGCUUUCGACUGUGACGAAGCGUGAGUGACGGUAAUGGGUAAAGAAGCACCGGCUAACUACGUG
Molecule: ribosomal RNA, 468 nt
Filed under: uncultured bacterium
Lineage: Bacteria
Description: partial 16S ribosomal RNA
Rfam family: Bacterial small subunit ribosomal RNA
Source: RNAcentral